AAACCAUGUUGUGGGCAUAAUUGACAAGAUCCUUAAACUGCUCCCAACAUUGGAAGAAUGUUUCAUCUCCCUUUUGUAAGAAGUUCACGAUUGAUUUUCUAAGGGU
Small nucleolar RNA from Magnolia sinica, 106 nucleotides. NCBI's taxonomy places the organism in Eukaryota, Viridiplantae, Streptophyta, Magnoliopsida, Magnoliales, Magnoliaceae. The record is from RefSeq and is a predicted model, not a curated record.